RNAcentral lists this ribosomal RNA (465 nucleotides) under Vreelandella stevensii. RNAcentral describes it as "partial 16S ribosomal RNA". It matches the Rfam family "Bacterial small subunit ribosomal RNA", at positions 338 to 795 of the family's 1533-position model. The record is from RNAcentral. Lineage: Bacteria; Pseudomonadati; Pseudomonadota; Gammaproteobacteria; Oceanospirillales; Halomonadaceae.
CCUACGGGUGGCAGCAGUGGGGAAUAUUGGACAAUGGGCGAAAGCCUGAUCCAGCCAUGCCGCGUGUGUGAAGAAGGCCUUCGGGUUGUAAAGCACUUUCAGUGGGGAAGAAAGCCUUGGGGCUAAUACCCUCGAGGAAGGACAUCACCCACAGAAGAAGCACCGGCUAACUCCGUGCCAGCAGCCGCGGUAAUACGGAGGGUGCGAGCGUUAAUCGGAAUUACUGGGCGUAAAGCGCGCGUAGGCGGUCUGAUAAGCCGGUUGUGAAAGCCCCGGGCUCAACCUGGGAACGGCAUCCGGAACUGUCAGGCUAGAGUGCAGGAGAGGAAGGUAGAAUUCCCGGUGUAGCGGUGAAAUGCGUAGAGAUCGGGAGGAAUACCAGUGGCGAAGGCGGCCUUCUGGACUGACACUGACGCUGAGGUGCGAAAGCGUGGGAAGCAAACAGGAUUAGAUACCCUAGUAGUC